This 706-nucleotide long non-coding RNA is filed under the name Brassica napus (rape). RNAcentral's name for it is "long non-coding RNA (BNAP_LNC008037)". The record is from RNAcentral. Lineage: Eukaryota; Viridiplantae; Streptophyta; Magnoliopsida; Brassicales; Brassicaceae.
AUAUUUGGAUUAUGGUUUAGUGACUAGAAUUUAGGAUUUAGUAUUUAGAAGGUGAGGGGGUAUGGUUGGGGUCAACAUUAACUUCUUUCAUGCAAUCAUAGACAUUUUAUAGUUUCACCAAUAUGUACUAUGUUAUUUAUUUUGUUCCAUUUUAUUUGGGUUUUGUGUUUAUAUUUGGGUUUAGGGUUUAUAUUUGAAUUAGGGUUUAAUGAUUAGAGUUUAGGGUUUAGUAUUUGAAAAUUUAUGUUUGGGUUUUGUGUUUAUAUUUGGGUUUAGGGUUUAUAUUUGAAUUAGGGUUUAAUGAUUAGAGUUUAGGGUUUAGUAUUUGAAAAUUUAUGUUUGGGUUUUGUGUUUAUAUUUGGGUUUAGGGUUUAUAUUUGAAUUAGGGUUUAAUGAUUAGAGUUUAGGGUUUAGUAUUUGAAAAUUUAUGUUUGGGUUUUGUGUUUAUAUUUGGGUUUAGGAUUUAUACACUUUUUAUUUUUUAAAAAUUUAUGUUUCUAUCCACUCAUUCUACUGCAUAUAGUAAAUAAAUAUGUUGUAAAUAAAUUUGUGACAUGAGUUCUUUUACGCGAAGUGUUUGUAAAUAAUAGUGAUUCAUUAUUAACCAGCAAUAAAAAAUUUUUGGGUGAAUUAAAUUGGUACGUGGCUGCAUGUGUUUCUAUCAAAUAAAGUAGUCUUAAUUUAAUGGGAAAAUUGGAUAAAUAGG